RNAcentral lists this long non-coding RNA (392 nucleotides) under Fukomys damarensis (Damara mole-rat). RNAcentral's name for it is "lncRNA (ENSFDAG00000026172.1)". The record is from RNAcentral. Lineage: Eukaryota; Metazoa; Chordata; Mammalia; Rodentia; Bathyergidae.
AACUGAGCCUACUAGGCUGAGCACUGUCAGUGUGCAAAUUAGCUGGCAAAGCUAUUGGACUGAGAAACACCACACAGACACAGUGAUGGACUGCUCUCCUCCCCAUCCGACAGAAGUGCCUAUUGGGGUGAGCAUGGGCAACUACGGAAAGGAUCCUGUGUACUAUUAUAGUUUUCGCACCAAAGAAACUAUUUGCGCUCAAGCUCUGGAAGGUAGGCUGGGCCCCGAUCCACCGCGGGAAGCAGAGUACUACUAAGUACUUCAGAAUGCUGUUUAAUUUCAACUUAGGGUAAGUUUAUAAGGUAUCACUAUUCUUGUUAACAUCUUCAUCUUAUAUAAACUCUGAGAGAUUUAUAGACGUACCCAAGAUUAGAGAACCGAUUUAACAGCAG